GUGGGGAAUAUUGGACAAUGGGCGCAAGCCUGAUCCAGCAAUGCCGCGUGGGUGAAGAAGGUCUCCGGAUCGUAAAGCCCUUUCGACAGGGACGAUGAUGACGGUACCUGUAGAAGAAGCCCCGGCUAACUUCGUGCCAGCAGCCGCGGUAAUACGAAGGGGGCUAGCGUUACUCGGAAUUACUGGGCGUAAAGGGCGCGUAGGCGGCUCUGUUAGUCAGGCGUGAAAUUCCUGGGCUUAACCUGGGGACUGCGCUUGAUACUGCAGGGCUUGAGGCCGAGAGAGGGUGGUGGAAUUCCCAGUGUAGAGGUGAAAUUCGUAGAUAUUGGGAAGAACACCGGUGGCGAAGGCGACCACCUGGCUCGGUUCUGACGCUGAGGCGCGACAGCGUGGGGAGCAAACAGGAUUAGAUACCCUUGUAGUCC
RNAcentral lists this ribosomal RNA (425 nucleotides) under uncultured bacterium. Its description in RNAcentral is "partial 16S ribosomal RNA". It matches the Rfam family "Bacterial small subunit ribosomal RNA", at positions 354 to 796 of the family's 1533-position model. The record is from RNAcentral.